RNAcentral lists this ribosomal RNA (502 nucleotides) under uncultured Actinomycetes bacterium. RNAcentral's name for it is "bacterial SSU rRNA". It matches the Rfam family "Bacterial small subunit ribosomal RNA", at positions 8 to 522 of the family's 1533-position model. Lineage: Bacteria; Bacillati; Actinomycetota; Actinomycetes. The record is from RNAcentral.
AGAGUUUGAUCAUGGCUCAGGACGAACGCUGGCGGCGUGCUUCAUACAUGCAAGUCGAGCGUGAACCCGGGGCUUGCCCCGGGGGAAAGCGGCGAACGGGUGAGUAACACGUGGGCAACCAACCCCAGCCUCUGGGAUAACCUCGGGAAACCGGGGCUAAUACCGGAUACUCUCGAUGGGUCGCAUGGCCCAACGAGGAAAGCUCCGGCGGACUGGGACGGGCCCGCGGCCUAUCAGCUUGUUGGCGGGGUAAUGGCCCACCAAGGCAUCGACGGGUAGCUGGCGUGAGAGCGUGACCAGCCACACUGGGACUGAGACACGGCCCAGACUCCUACGGGAGGCAGCAGUAGGGAAUCUUGCGCAAUGGGCGAAAGCCUGACGCAGCGACGCCGCGUGGGGGAUGAAGGCUCUUGGGUCGUAAACCCCUUUCGGCAGGGAAGAAGCGAAAGUGACGGUACCUGCAGAAGAAGCCCCGGCCAACUACGUGCCAGCAGCCGCGGUA